This 76-nucleotide transfer RNA is filed under the name Comamonas testosteroni. RNAcentral describes it as "tRNA-Ala". It matches the Rfam family "tRNA". Rfam says of the family: Transfer RNA (tRNA) molecules are approximately 80 nucleotides in length. Lineage: Bacteria; Pseudomonadati; Pseudomonadota; Betaproteobacteria; Burkholderiales; Comamonadaceae. The record is from RNAcentral.
GGGGGUAUAGCUCAGCUGGGAGAGCGCUUGCAUGGCAUGCAAGAGGUCAUCGGUUCGAUUCCGUUUACCUCCACCA